Molecule: ribosomal RNA, 547 nt
Filed under: uncultured bacterium
Lineage: Bacteria
Description: bacterial SSU rRNA
Rfam family: Bacterial small subunit ribosomal RNA
Source: RNAcentral
AAUAGAUACCCGGGUAGUCCACGCCCGUAAACGACUGAGUGCUAAGUGUUAGGGGGUUUCCGCCCCUUAGUGGCUGCAGCUAACGCAUUAAGCACUCCGCCUGGGGAGUACGGUCGCAAGACUGAAACUCAAAGGAAUUGACGGGGGCCCGCACAAGCGGUGGAGCAUGUGGUUUAAUUCGAAGCAACGCGAAGAACCUUACCAGGUCUUGACAUCCCGCUGACCGCUAUGGAGACAUAGCUUUCCCUUCGGGGACAGCGGUGACAGGUGGUGCAUGGUUGUCGUCAGCUCGUGUCGUGAGAUGUUGGGUUAAGUCCCGCAACGAGCGCAACCCUUGUUCUUAGUUGCCAUCAUUAAGUUGGGCACUCUAAGGAGACUGCCGGUGAUAAACCGGAGGAAGGUGGGGAUGACGUCAAAUCAUCAUGCCCCUUAUGACCUGGGCUACACACGUGCUACAAUGGACGGUACUAAACGGUUGCGAAGUCGCGAGACGGAGCCAAUCCGAGUAAAACCGUUCUCAGUUCGGAUUGUAGGCUGCAACUCGCCU